Molecule: long non-coding RNA, 495 nt
Filed under: Nicotiana benthamiana
Lineage: Eukaryota; Viridiplantae; Streptophyta; Magnoliopsida; Solanales; Solanaceae
Description: long non-coding RNA (NBEN_LNC003980)
Source: RNAcentral
CUGCUAGCAUGUCCUUGCCUCUCUACCACUUCCCCAUUUCCUAUACCGAUAUGUGUAUCUAUGUGUAUUAUUUCCCUUCCAUUUUCCCCUUUUGGAACUCUGCACUUGCACUCUUUCUCUUAGUUCCUAAGUUCUGCCCUCCUCUUAUAAGUCUUGCCUUGGGACCUUGAGUUCCAGCUGCACUUGGACACCUUAGAGCUUACGCUUUGACACUGCACUAUGGCUUAUUAUGGUAAUACAUUUGGAGUGUAAGCACUGCGUGGAGUUCUUAUGAAACUCUUAGAGAACUUUGAAACACCCAGAUGAGAGGAAGGCUUUGAAACAUGAUCUUUGGAGUUGGUUUACUUUAUAAAUCAGACAAGAAGUCUGAAUCAGGCCCUCCUUGGUUGUAACUUUCAAUUUCUAAUGUAUCUUCUCUUCUUUGGACUGUAAUAAAUUGUAAUAAAACUUUUGGGAUGGCUAGUGAAAAGGGAGAGGUAACUAUGCUUGUACAGG